UACGUAGGGUGCGAGCGUUGUCCGGAAUUAUUGGGCGUAAAGAGCGUGUAGGCGGCCAGGUAGGUCUGCUGUGAAAACUCGAGGCUCAACCUCGAGAUGUCGGCGGAAACCAUCUGGCUAGAGUCCGGAAGAGGAGAAUGGAAUUCCCGGUGUAGCGGUGAAAUGCGCAGAUAUCGGGAAGAACACCCGUGGCGAAGGCGGUUCUCUGGGACGGUACUGACGCUGAGACGCGAAAGCGUGGGGAGCGAACAGG
This 253-nucleotide ribosomal RNA is filed under the name uncultured bacterium. RNAcentral describes it as "partial 16S ribosomal RNA". It matches the Rfam family "Bacterial small subunit ribosomal RNA", at positions 524 to 776 of the family's 1533-position model. The record is from RNAcentral.